AAAUUGAAGAGUUUGAUCAUGGCUCAGAUUGAACGCUGGCGGCAGGCCUAACACAUGCAAGUCGAACGGUAACAGGAAGCAGCUUGCUGCUUUGCUGACGAGUGGCGGACGGGUGAGUAAUGUCUGGGAAACUGCCUGGUGGAGGGGGAUAACUACUGGAAACGGUGGCUAAUACCGCAUAACGUCGCAAGACCAAAGAGGGGGACCUUCGGGCCUCUUGCCAUCAGAUGUGCCCAGAUGGGAUUAGCUUGUUGGUGAGGUAACGGCUCACCAAGGCGACGAUCCCUAGCUGGUCUGAGAGGAUGACCAGCCACACUGGAACUGAGACACGGUCCAGACUCCUACGGGAGGCAGCAGUGGGGAAUAUUGCACAAUGGGCGCAAGCCUGAUGCAGCCAUGCCGCGUGUAUGAAGAAGGCCUUCGGGUUGUAAAGUACUUUCAGCGGGGAGG
RNAcentral lists this ribosomal RNA (450 nucleotides) under Salmonella enterica subsp. enterica serovar Overschie. RNAcentral describes it as "bacterial SSU rRNA". It matches the Rfam family "Bacterial small subunit ribosomal RNA", at positions 1 to 447 of the family's 1533-position model. The record is from RNAcentral. Lineage: Bacteria; Pseudomonadati; Pseudomonadota; Gammaproteobacteria; Enterobacterales; Enterobacteriaceae.